Molecule: ribosomal RNA, 1392 nt
Filed under: Microbacterium laevaniformans
Lineage: Bacteria; Bacillati; Actinomycetota; Actinomycetes; Micrococcales; Microbacteriaceae
Description: bacterial SSU rRNA
Rfam family: Bacterial small subunit ribosomal RNA
Source: RNAcentral
CUUACCUGCAGUCGAACGGUGAAGCCCAGCUUGCUGGGUGGAUCAGUGGCGAACGGGUGAGUAACACGUGAGCAAUCUGCCCCUGACUCUGGGAUAAGCGCUGGAAACGGCGUCUAAUACUGGAUACGAACCGUGGAGGCAUCUUCAACGGUUGGAAAGAUUUUUUGGUCAGGGAUGAGCUCGCGGCCUAUCAGCUUGUUGGUGAGGUAAUGGCUCACCAAGGCGUCGACGGGUAGCCGGCCUGAGAGGGUGACCGGCCACACUGGGACUGAGACACGGCCCAGACUCCUACGGGAGGCAGCAGUGGGGAAUAUUGCACAAUGGGCGAAAGCCUGAUGCAGCAACGCCGCGUGAGGGAUGACGGCCUUCGGGUUGUAAACCUCUUUUAGCAGGGAAGAAGCGAAAGUGACGGUACCUGCAGAAAAAGCGCCGGCUAACUACGUGCCAGCAGCCGCGGUAAUACGUAGGGCGCAAGCGUUAUCCGGAAUUAUUGGGCGUAAAGAGCUCGUAGGCGGUUUGUCGCGUCUGCUGUGAAAUCCCGAGGCUCAACUUCGGGUCUGCAGUGGGUACGGGCAGACUAGAGUGCGGUAGGGGAGAUUGGAAUUCCUGGUGUAGCGGUGGAAUGCGCAGAUAUCAGGAGGAACACCGAUGGCGAAGGCAGAUCUCUGGGCCGUAACUGACGCUGAGGAGCGAAAGGGUGGGGAGCAAACAGGCUUAGAUACCCUGGUAGUCCACCCCGUAAACGUUGGGAACUAGUUGUGGGGUCCAUUCCACGGAUUCCGUGACGCAGCUAACGCAUUAAGUUCCCCGCCUGGGGAGUACGGCCGCAAGGCUAAAACUCAAAGGAAUUGACGGGGACCCGCACAAGCGGCGGAGCAUGCGGAUUAAUUCGAUGCAACGCGAAGAACCUUACCAAGGCUUGACAUAUACGAGAACGCUGCAGAAAUGUAGAACUCUUUGGACACUCGUAAACAGGUGGUGCAUGGUUGUCGUCAGCUCGUGUCGUGAGAUGUUGGGUUAAGUCCCGCAACGAGCGCAACCCUCGUUCUAUGUUGCCAGCACGUAAUGGUGGGAACUCAUGGGAUACUGCCGGGGUCAACUCGGAGGAAGGUGGGGAUGACGUCAAAUCAUCAUGCCCCUUAUGUCUUGGGCUUCACGCAUGCUACAAUGGCCGGUACAAAGGGCUGCAAUACCGUGAGGUGGAGCGAAUCCCAAAAAGCCGGUCCCAGUUCGGAUUGAGGUCUGCAACUCGACCUCAUGAAGUCGGAGUCGCUAGUAAUCGCAGAUCAGCAACGCUGCGGUGAAUACGUUCCCGGGUCUUGUACACACCGCCCGUCAAGUCAUGAAAGUCGGUAACACCUGAAGCCGGUGGCCCAACCCUUGGGAGGGAGC